RNAcentral lists this ribosomal RNA (492 nucleotides) under uncultured bacterium. RNAcentral describes it as "partial 16S ribosomal RNA". It matches the Rfam family "Bacterial small subunit ribosomal RNA", at positions 29 to 507 of the family's 1533-position model. The record is from RNAcentral.
AGUGAACGCUGGCGGUAGGCCUAACACAUGCAAGUCGAACGGCAGCACAGUAAGAGCUUGCUCUUACGGGUGGCGAGUGGCGGACGGGUGAGGAAUACAUCGGAAUCUACUUUUUCGUGGGGGAUAACGUAGGGAAACUUACGCCAAUACCGCAUACGACCUACGGGUGAAAGCAGGGGAUCUUCGGACCUUGCGCGAUUGAAUGAGCCGAUGUCGGAUUAGCUAGUUGACGGGGUAAAGGCCCACCAAGGCGACGAUCCGUAGCUGGUCUGAGAGGAUGAUCAGCCACACUGGAACUGAGACACGGUCCAGACUCCUACGGGAGGCAGCAGUGGGGAAUAUUGGACAAUGGGCGCAAGCCUGAUCCAGCCAUACCGCGUGGGUGAAGAAGGCCUUCGGGUUGUAAAGCCCUUUUGUUGGGAAAGAAAAGCAGCAGGUUAAUACCCCGCUGUUCUGACGGUACCCAAAGAAUAAGCACCGGCUAACUUCGUG